GCCAUUUGCAUUCAGCUCACGCUUUUGAGUGUUCGAUACCAAGAGCUACUGCAAACAUGAAGUGCUUGGUCCUGGUUUUGGUUCUGGGUUUAGUCUCUCCUCUGAUCAGAGGGGAAUUUCCAGACUGUGAAACUACAUUUCUCAACCCAGGUCAAACAAACUGUAUUGAUGAAACUGAUGGCUCAGAGCAUGGAAUGGACUCCACCUGGACGAACUCACAGUGUUACAAAUGUCAUUGUUCCUCUACUGGCAUGACAUGCUGUGACACGAUUGUUCCACCAAGUAACCCAAAUCCUACCACCUGCACUGUGGUGUACGACUAUCAGACCUGCCAAGCCAACCUUGUGAGCAGAGAUGACCCAUCAUUACCAUGCUAACUGAAGACUGGGACUCCAUCACAGCUGAAGCUCUUUAGAGAUGCUGUAUAUUCUUGCAGCACGAAGUGAAAAACAGAACUGUACUCAUACCCAGUAAAAACAACGCGAAGUGCAGUGCGAUCCAAAGUUAUUGGCUUAGCUAGGCCAUGUGCUGGAAAACAGGCAGCCUAGUAAUAUAAGCUUUCAAAACUUUGAUCACUUUUUAAAUUUGGAAUAAAUAAUACAACAUAAAUAAAACUGUACGUCCUGUAUGUAACUAAAUCUAAUUCUAAUAAAAGUCUAAUAACAAUAUCAAAUAAGCUUGACUCAGCU
Molecule: long non-coding RNA, 689 nt
Organism: Pygocentrus nattereri (red-bellied piranha)
Lineage: Eukaryota; Metazoa; Chordata; Actinopteri; Characiformes; Serrasalmidae
Exons: 4
Source: RefSeq, a predicted model, not a curated record